Molecule: ribosomal RNA, 414 nt
Filed under: uncultured microorganism
Description: bacterial SSU rRNA
Rfam family: Archaeal small subunit ribosomal RNA
Source: RNAcentral
CAGCAGCCGCGGUAAUACCGGCGGCCCGAGUGGCGGUCACUAUUAUUGGGCUUAAAGCGUCCGGAGCCGGGUUGGGAAGGCCUCCGGGAAAUCUGGCCGCUUAACGGUCAGAAUGCCGGAGGAUACUCCCAGCCUAGGGAGCGGGAGAGGCCGAGGGUAUUCCCGGAGGCGGGGGGAAAUCCUAUAAUCCCGGGAGGACCACCUGUGGCGAAGGCGCUCGGCUGGAACGCGUCCGACGGUGAGGGACGAAGGCCAGGGGAGCAAACCGGAUUAGAUACCCGGGUAGUCCUGGCGGUAAACGAUGCGGACUUUGUGUCGGACAAGCUAUGAGCUUGUCCGGUGCCGGAGGGAAACCGUUAAGUCCGCCGCCUGGGGAGUACGGCCGCAAGGCUGAAACUUAAAGGAAUUGGCGGG